UGGGGAAUAUUGCACAAUGGGCGCAAGCCUGAUGCAGCCAUGCCGCGUGUAUGAAGAAGGCCUUCGGGUUGUAAAGUACUUUCAGUCGGGAGGAAGGUGUCAAGGUUAAUAACCUAGGCAAUUGACGUUACCGACAGAAGAAGCACCGGCUAACUCCGUGCCAGCAGCCGCGGUAAUACGGAGGGUGCAAGCGUUAAUCGGAAUUACUGGGCGUAAAGCGCACGCAGGCGGUUUGUUAAGUCAGAUGUGAAAUCCCCGGGCUCAACCUGGGAACUGCAUCUGAUACUGGCAAGCUUGAGUCUCGUAGAGGGGGGUAGAAUUCCAGGUGUAGCGGUGAAAUGCGUAGAGAUCUGGAGGAAUACCGGUGGCGAAGGCGGCCCCCUGGACGAAGACUGACGCUCAGGUGCGAAAGCGUGGGGAGCAAACAGG
Molecule: ribosomal RNA, 429 nt
Filed under: Chloroflexota bacterium
Lineage: Bacteria; Bacillati; Chloroflexota
Description: Chloroflexi bacterium partial 16S ribosomal RNA
Rfam family: Bacterial small subunit ribosomal RNA
Source: RNAcentral